AUUGAACGCUGGCGGCAGGCCUAACACAUGCCAGUCGAGCGGAUGAAGGGAGCUUGCUCCUGGAUUCAGCGGCGGACGGGUGAGUAAUGCCUAGGAAUCUGCCUGGUAGUGGGGGAUAACGUCCGGAAACGGGCGCUAAUACCGCAUACGUCCUGAGGGAGAAAGUGGGGGAUCUUCGGACCUCACGCCAUCAGAUGAGCCUAGGUCGGAUUAGCUAGUUGGUGGGGUAAAGGCUUACCAAGGCGACGAUCCGUAACUGGUCUGAGAGGAUGAUCAGUCACAUUGGACCUGGGACACGGUCCAGACUCCUACGGGAGGCAGCAGUGGCGAAUAUUGGACAAUGGGCGAAAGCCUGAUCCAGCCAUGCCGCGUGUGUGAAGAAGGUCUUCGGAUUGUAAAGCACUUUAAGUUGGGAGGAAGGGCAGUAAGUUAAUACCUUGCUGUUUUGACGGUACCAACAGAAUAAGCACCGGCUAACUUCGUG
This 484-nucleotide ribosomal RNA is filed under the name uncultured bacterium. RNAcentral describes it as "partial 16S ribosomal RNA". It matches the Rfam family "Bacterial small subunit ribosomal RNA", at positions 30 to 507 of the family's 1533-position model. The record is from RNAcentral.